Molecule: ribosomal RNA, 460 nt
Filed under: uncultured bacterium
Lineage: Bacteria
Description: partial 16S ribosomal RNA
Rfam family: Bacterial small subunit ribosomal RNA
Source: RNAcentral
CCUACGGGUGGCAGCAGUGAGGAAUAUUGGUCAAUGGACGAGAGUCUGAACCAGCCAAGUAGCGUGAAGGAUGACUGUCCUAAGGGUUGUAAACUUCUUUUAUAAAGGAAUAAAACGAGGCACGUGUGCCUUUUUGCGUGUACUUUAUGAAUAAGGAUCGGCUAACUCCGUGCCAGCAGCCGCGGUAAUACGGAGGAUCCGAGCGUUCUCCGGAUUUAUUGGGUUUAAAGGGAGCGUAGAUGGGUUGUUAAGUCAGUUGUGAAAGUUUGCGGCUCAACCGUAAAAUUGCAAUUGAUACUGGCAGUCUUGAGUACAGUUGAGGUAGGCGGAAUUCGUGGUGUAGCGGUGAAAUGCUUAGAUAUCACGAAGAACCCCGAUUGCGAAGGCAGCUUACUAAACUGUGACUGACAUUGAUGCUCGAAAGUGUGGGGAUCAAACAGGAUUAGAUACCCGGGUAGUC